Dama dama (fallow deer) is the source of this 500-nucleotide long non-coding RNA. RefSeq lists it as uncharacterized. The transcript has 5 exons. The record is from RefSeq and is a predicted model, not a curated record. NCBI's taxonomy places the organism in Eukaryota, Metazoa, Chordata, Mammalia, Artiodactyla, Cervidae.
AUCUCUUGCCUGGGCUGAAACUGAUGAAACCGGGCGAGGUCUCUGGAAAAACUGGCUUUGGCUAAUGAUGUCAGUAUGACCCGAUGCUGGUCAGUGAGCUGCCAGAGAAGUCUGCUGGGAUGCAGUUGGGAAAGACAUCUUCCUGUUGGAGAGAUUUGUCUGAGGAGGUCAUUUUUUCCCUCUUCUGGGGUUAUGUUCUGUGAGAGAGGGCGGCAUUGGAAGCCACCAGCUCCUGGGUUCCAGAUUUCAUCUUCUGCAGCCCCUAUGUUGUAGCUGGCAUCACCCGUUUCUCAUUCCAGAACACGGACACCAGUUAUAUUGGGUUCCUAAAGGAAAUCAACCCUGAAUAUUCCCUGGAAAGACUGAUGCUGAAGCUGAAGUGCCAAUACUGGGCCACCUGAUGCGAAGAGCUGACUCAUUGGAAAAGACCCUAAUGCUGGGAAAGGCUGAAGAUGAAUUUUAAAAUAAAGUAUCCUCUACAAUCCUGUUGAAACUAAAGG